UACGUAGGGUGCGAGCGUUGUCCGGAAUUAUUGGGCGUAAAGAGCUUGUAGGCGGUUUGUCGCGUCUGCUGUGAAAUCUCAAGGCUCAACCUUGAGCUUGCAGUGGGUACGGGCAGACUAGAGUGUGGUAGGGGAGACUGGAAUUCCUGGUGUAGCGGUGAAAUGCGCAGAUAUCAGGAGGAACACCGAUAGCGAAGGCAGGUCUCUGGGCCACUACUGACGCUGAGAAGCGAAAGCAUGGGGAGCGAACAGG
This 253-nucleotide ribosomal RNA is filed under the name uncultured bacterium. RNAcentral describes it as "partial 16S ribosomal RNA". It matches the Rfam family "Bacterial small subunit ribosomal RNA", at positions 524 to 776 of the family's 1533-position model. The record is from RNAcentral.